This 253-nucleotide ribosomal RNA is filed under the name uncultured bacterium. RNAcentral's name for it is "partial 16S ribosomal RNA". It matches the Rfam family "Bacterial small subunit ribosomal RNA", at positions 524 to 776 of the family's 1533-position model. The record is from RNAcentral.
UACGUAGGGCGCAAGCGUUAUCCGGAAUUAUUGGGCGUAAAGAGCUCGUAGGCGGUUUGUCGCGUCUGCUGUGAAAGACCGGGGCUCAACUCCGGUUCUGCAGUGGGUACGGGCAGACUAGAGUGCAGUAGGGGAGACUGGAAUUCCUGGUGUAGCGGUGAAAUGCGCAGAUAUCAGGAGGAACACCGAUGGCGAAGGCAGGUCUCUGGGCUGUAACUGACGCUGAGGAGCGAAAGCGUGGGUAGCAAACGGG